Non-coding RNA from Heterocephalus glaber (naked mole-rat), 69 nucleotides. Lineage: Eukaryota; Metazoa; Chordata; Mammalia; Rodentia; Bathyergidae. The record is from Rfam.
GGGGCUGUAGCUUAGUGGUUGAGUGCAUGUUUAACAUGCAUAAGAUCCUGGGUUUGAUCCCUAGCACCA